This 304-nucleotide signal recognition particle RNA is filed under the name Prunus dulcis (almond). Its description in RNAcentral is "sRNA ncRNA". The stretch from base 41 to 304 matches the Rfam family "Plant signal recognition particle RNA", at positions 42 to 305 of the family's 305-position model. Lineage: Eukaryota; Viridiplantae; Streptophyta; Magnoliopsida; Rosales; Rosaceae. The record is from Rfam by way of RNAcentral.
GUCUUGUGACCUCAUUCAACUCCCUAAAUCUUCAGAGGCUUUGAGGUGCUGGAACAUUGGCCAAGAAUUAGCGGGUCGGGUUCGAGCUGGCUAUAUGCUGGCCUGCCCAUUCCAAGCUAGGAGUUGAACCCUGUGGCUUGAGCGAAGGCUUGGGUCACUGGUUUUCUAGAGAGGAGGGAACCGAGUUAGGCUGGCUUUACAGAGCAACGACUACCUUCCUCUCUUGGCAGUGGAAGGAUUACAGGUCAGUGUCACUCGGAUUCGCCAUGGCCCGCUAGACUGACCCAAUAGAACCAAAACCUUU